GGGUUGUGAGGUUAAGCGACUAAGCGUACACGGUGGAUGCCCUGGCAGUCAGAGGCGAUGAAGGGCGUGCUAAUCUGCGAUAAGCGCCGGUAAGGUGAUAUGAACCGUUAUAACCGGCGAUACCCGAAUGGGGAAACCCAGUGUGAUUCGUCACACUAUCAUUAACUGAAUCCAUAGGUUAAUGAGGCGAACCGGGGGAACUGAAACAUCUAAGUACCCCGAGGAAAAGAAAUCAACCGAGAUUCCCCCAGUAGCGGCGAGCGAACGGGGAGGAGCCCAGAGCCUGAAUCAGCAUGUGUGUUAGUGGAAGCGUCUGGAAAGGCGCGCGAUACAGGGUGACAGCCCCGUACACAAAAGCGCAUGUGCUGUGAGCUCGAUGAGUAGGGCGGGACACGUGGUAUCCUGUCUGAAUAUGGGGGGACCAUCCUCCAAGGCUAAAUACUCCUGACUGACCGAUAGUGAACCAGUACCGUGAGGGAAAGGCGAAAAGAACCCCGGCGAGGGGAGUGAAAAAGAACCUGAAACCGUGUACGUACAAGCAGUGGGAGCACCCUUUGGGUGUGACUGCGUACCUUUUGUAUAAUGGGUCAGCGACUUAUAUUCUGUAGCAAGGUUAACCGAAUAGGGGAGCCGGAGGGAAACCGAGUCUUAACCGGGCGUUAAGUUGCAGGGUAUAGACCCGAAACCCGGUGAUCUAGCCAUGGGCAGGUUGAAGGUUGGGUAACACUAACUGGAGGACCGAACCGACUAAUGUUGAAAAAUUAGCGGAUGACCUGUGGCUGGGGGUGAAAGGCCAAUCAAACCGGGAGAUAGCUGGUUCUCCCCGAAAGCUAUUUAGGUAGCGCCUCGUGAAUUCAUCUCCGGGGGUAGAGCACUGUUUCGGCUAGGGGGCCAUCCCGGCUUACCAACCCGAUGCAAACUGCGAAUACCGGAGAAUGUUAUCACGGGAGACACACGGCGGGUGCUAACGUCCGUCGUGAAGAGGGAAACAACCCAGACCGCCAGCUAAGGUCCCAAAGUCAUGGUUAAGUGGGAAACGAUGUGGGAAGGCCCAGACAGCCAGGAUGUUGGCUUAGAAGCAGCCAUCAUUUAAAGAAAGCGUAAUAGCUCACUGGUCGAGUCGGCCUGCGCGGAAGAUGUAACGGGGCUAAACCAUGCACCGAAGCUGCGGCAGCGACACUGUGUGUUGUUGGGUAGGGGAGCGUUCUGUAAGCCUGUGAAGGUGUGUCGUGAGGCAUGCUGGAGGUAUCAGAAGUGCGAAUGCUGACAUAAGUAACGAUAAAGCGGGUGAAAAGCCCGCUCGCCGGAAGACCAAGGGUUCCUGUCCAACGUUAAUCGGGGCAGGGUGAGUCGACCCCUAAGGCGAGGCCGAAAGGCGUAGUCGAUGGGAAACGGGUUAAUAUUCCCGUACUUGGUGUUACUGCGAAGGGGGGACGGAGAAGGCUAUGUUGGCCGGGCGACGGUUGUCCCGGUUUAAGCGUGUAGGUGUGUGUUCCAGGUAAAUCCGGUUCACUUUAACACUGAGGCGUGACGACGAGGCACUACGGUGCUGAAGCAACAAAUGCCCUGCUUCCAGGAAAAGCCUCUAAGCAUCAGGUAACAUCAAAUCGUACCCCAAACCGACACAGGUGGUCAGGUAGAGAAUACCAAGGCGCUUGAGAGAACUCGGGUGAAGGAACUAGGCAAAAUGGUGCCGUAACUUCGGGAGAAGGCACGCUGACACGUAGGUGAAGUGAUUUACUCAUGGAG
Molecule: ribosomal RNA, 1749 nt
Filed under: Salmonella enterica
Lineage: Bacteria; Pseudomonadati; Pseudomonadota; Gammaproteobacteria; Enterobacterales; Enterobacteriaceae
Description: partial 23S ribosomal RNA
Rfam family: Bacterial large subunit ribosomal RNA
Source: RNAcentral